Molecule: ribosomal RNA, 612 nt
Filed under: uncultured bacterium
Lineage: Bacteria
Description: bacterial SSU rRNA
Rfam family: Bacterial small subunit ribosomal RNA
Source: RNAcentral
CCUACGGGAGGCAGCAGUAAGGAAUAUUGGUCAAUGGGCGCAAGCCUGAACCAGCCAUGCCGCGUGCAGGAAGACGGCCCUAUGGGUUGUAAACUGCUUUUGAACAAGAGAAAACCUCGGUACGUGUACCGAGCUGAUAGUAUUGUUAGAAUAAGCAUCGGCUAACUUCGUGCCAGCAGCCGCGGUAAGACGAAGGAUGCAAGCGUUAUCCGGAUUCAUUGGGUUUAAAGGGUGCGUAGGCGGCCUGAUAAGUCAGUGGUGAAAUCUCUCAGCUUAACUGAGAAACUGCCAUUGAUACUGUCGGGCUUGAGUACAGAUGAUGUGGGCGGAAUAUGACAUGUAGUGGUGAAAUACUUAGAUAUGUCAUAGAACACCGAUUGCGAAGGCAGCUCACAAAACUGUAACUGACGCUGAGGCACGAAAGUGCGGGGAUCAAACAGGAUUAGAUACCCUGGUAGUCCGCACCGUAAACGAUGAUUACUCGUUGUUGGCAAUAUGACCGUCAGCGACCAAGCGAAAGCGAUAAGAAUCCACCUGGGAGUACGCCGGCAACGGUUGAAACGUCAAANAGAGUAGAGGNGNGAGAGNGCGAGGACGACACGAGGGAGGAGG